GACGAACGCUGGCGGCGUGCCUAAUACAUGCAAGUCGAGCGGACUUAACAAGCUUGCUUUUUAUGUUCGCGUCGGACGGGGGAGUAAAACAUGGGAAUCCCCCCUGUUUGACUGGGAUACAUCCGGAAAACCGUGGCUAUAACAGCAUAUUCCUUUUCUUCCCAUAUGGAAAAGCUGAGAAAGGUUUUACGCUUUCAGUUACAGUUGCGCCUGCGCCGCUUUAGCUAGUUGGUGUGGUAACGCCUCACCAAGGCGACGAGGCGUAGACGACGUGAGAGGGGGAUCGGCCACACUGGGACUGAGACACGGACCAGACUCCUAAGGGAGGCAGCAGUAGGGAAUCUGCCGCAAUGGACGAAAGUCUGACGGAGCAACGCCGCGUGAGUGAUGAAGGUUUUCGGAUCGUAAAACUCUGUUGUUAGGGAAGAACAAGUACGAGAGUAACUGCUCGUACCUUGACGGUACCUAACCAGAAAGCCACGGCUAACUACGUG
This 494-nucleotide ribosomal RNA is filed under the name uncultured bacterium. RNAcentral's name for it is "partial 16S ribosomal RNA". It matches the Rfam family "Bacterial small subunit ribosomal RNA", at positions 28 to 507 of the family's 1533-position model. The record is from RNAcentral.